GGGGAAUAUUGGACAAUGGGCGCAAGCCUGAUCCAGCCAUGCCGCGUGGGUGAAGAAGGCCUUCGGGUUGUAAAGCCCUUUUGUUGGGAAAGAAAAGCAGCCGGCCAAUACCCGGUUGUUCUGACGGUACCCAAAGAAUAAGCACCGGCUAACUCCGUGCCAGCAGCCGCGGUAAUACGGAGGAUCCGAGCGUUAUCCGGAUUUAUUGGGUUUAAAGGGUGCGUAGGCGGGAUAAUAAGUCAGUGGUGAAAGUUUGCAGCUUAACUGUAAAAGUGCCGUGGAAACUGUUAUUCUUGAGAGUAGAUAAGGUAGGCGGAAUGUGUUGUGUAGCGGUGAAAUGCAUAGAUAUAACACAGAACCCCGAUUGCGAAGGCAGCUUACCGGGCUACAUCUGACGCUGAUGCACGAAAGCGUGGGGAUCAAACA
This 426-nucleotide ribosomal RNA is filed under the name uncultured Bacteroidota bacterium. Its description in RNAcentral is "bacterial SSU rRNA". It matches the Rfam family "Bacterial small subunit ribosomal RNA", at positions 356 to 774 of the family's 1533-position model. Lineage: Bacteria; Pseudomonadati; Bacteroidota. The record is from RNAcentral.